GACCCAGUGGCGAAGUGGUUCGCAUCCGUCAAACUUAUCGAUUGGGACAAUUUUCCGCGGAAGACACCCGUUCGAUUCGGGUUUGGGUCA
This is a non-coding RNA of Mycena latifolia, 90 nucleotides long. The record is from the annotation of a GenBank genome assembly. NCBI's taxonomy places the organism in Eukaryota, Fungi, Basidiomycota, Agaricomycetes, Agaricales, Mycenaceae.